This 941-nucleotide unclassified non-coding RNA is filed under the name Hevea brasiliensis (rubber tree). Lineage: Eukaryota; Viridiplantae; Streptophyta; Magnoliopsida; Malpighiales; Euphorbiaceae. The record is from RNAcentral.
AAUAGCAUAAAAAUCAUGAGAUGUGUCAAAGAGAAGCACGCAGUGUAGGACAUUAUAAAAUCCAUGCCACAAGUUGUAACACAAGCUACCUUUUAUUACAAUUACAGGGCACUUGAAAAACUACACUCCUUAGUGAAGUAUGAAGUCUCUCAUCAUACCCUCCAUUCGAUCUUAUACUUUCAGGUAGUGCAUACCAUGUUCGUUUAACAAAAUGCACUUACCUUGACAAACAUUAUUAAUAAUUAGCCUAACUGAACUCAUCUAGCGACAAGCUCUCCACGGAUCCAAAGCUUUCCAUAUGUCCGAUUCUUGAGUAGUUAGUCAACGAUCCACCCAAAAAAUCAAGUGGUGAGUCGUCAGAGAAGUUGGUGGUGUCAUAGAUAAAUGACAAGCCGGUAUUGUCCACCAUUGGAUAAUUCAUGUAAAAGAAACUGGAUUUGUUAAACUCAUAAUCGUGAAGAAAGAUAUCAUUAACAGCAGUGCUAGUUAUAUUAGCAUAUACAUCUUGAUCGGAGGCCUUCUUAGCCUGAAUGACAUAAUUCUGGUUUUGAUUGUCCUUAUAUACCAUAAUAAAGUCUCCAAGUUGUAAUCCAUGCGUGUUAACAAAGUCCCCGGUAUUUUCAAGUACAUACAUUCUGCUAUUGUUAUUAGGCCAGUACCUGUAUUUGAAGCUCCAAACAUGCAGACCAUCCAAGUCAUCCAUGGUGAUAAAAAUUCCUUCUUUCGACUCCAGGAGAGGGAGAUGUGCCUCAGCUGCUUUCUGAAACACGGUGCCAUAUAUAGCAAAACAUAUAAUUAACGUUCCAUGAAGAAAUUGUGACUGCCGCGGAGAGCAUACACAUUUAUAGGAGCUAUAAUUAGAGUUGAUUAUGAAGAGAAAGAGAAGUUACAGCUACAAAAUCUUUAACAGAGGAGAAAUACAGAUACUAAUUAGACCUUUG